AUGGAUGCACGCUUUGCCUCUCUACUCCUACUAAAUUUGGUUCAUCUGUUUUUGCGCAUCUCAGCUCGUGAAUUCCUCUUGCCAGGCUCCUCUCUCUCCAUAGAGGAUAGCUCCCAUAUGCUCCAUUCACCAGAUGGCACUUUCACCUGUGGCUUCAAAAACAUUUCCCGAAAUGCCUCCGUCUUCUCUAUUUGGUUCUCCAACACUGUUGACAAGACUGCCGUCUGGAGCGCAAAUCAUCUCCAUCCUGUGUACUCCUGGGGAUCCCGAGUCAUGCUAUAUGCGGAUGGCGGAAUGGUUCUAGAGGAUUAUAAUGGACAGUCUGUGUGGGAAAACAAUGUCAACUCUUCAUCAAAAGCUGUAAAAGCUCAGUUAUUGGACACCGGGAACCUCAUCGUGAAGGGCCAAGGUGAUAUUAUUCUAUGGCAAAGCUUUCAUUCUCCUACUGAUACAUUGCUGCCCUAUCAGAACAUUACUAGUGCUACCAAGUUGGUAUCUACUAGUAGGUUACUUGUUCCUGGCCGGUUCAGCUUUCAUUUUGAUGAUCAACAUCUACUCACAUUGUUUGAUGAUGAGAAGGAUAUCUCUUUUAUCUACUGGCCAAAUCCUAAUAGUGACAUAUGGACAAAGCAAAGAAACUCGUUUAAUACCACCACAAUUGGGGUACUUGAUAGUUGGGGGUAUUUCCUUGCAAGUGACAAUUUAAAUUUUAAGGCUAGUGAUUGGGGCAUCAGGAUUAUGAGGAGGCUAACCUUGGAUUACGAUGGUAACCUUAGAUUAUAUAGUCUAAAUAAGACAGAUGGAACAUGGUCUGUCACAUGGAUGGCACUUCCUCAGACCUGCUCUAUACGUAGUCUAUGUGGUAUGAAUGGAAUAUGUGUGUAUACACCUAGGCCUUCUUGUGCAUGUGCCCCUGGAUAUGAGAUCAUCGACCCAAAUGAUAGGAGCCAAGGUUGCAGGCCGAAAUUCAAUCCUAGUUGUGAUGGGCAGGAGAUGUUUGUGAAGCUACCAAACACUGACUUCCGAGGUAAUGACCAAAGCAAGAAUACCUCAGUUUCAUUUCAUACUUGCAAGAAGAUAUGCUUGAACGAUUGCAAUUGCAAAGGUUUUUUAUACUGGCAAGCAAGUGGAGGUUGCUAUCCAAAGUCGUCCCUUUUGGGUGGUGAAAUGAGGCCGGGUUUGGGUCGUUCUAUCUAUAUCAAGCUUCCUAAGACAUUACAGGUCUCAAAGUCCUCAAUUCCUCAAUCUCAACCUUUUGAUCCUAGAUACGCUCCUAAUUGUAGUGCAAAGACCAAAUAUUUCAUUCCCGAUUUUCUGGAUCAACCCAAAGAUAGUCAUAGUGGAUUAAACUCGCAGUACUUGUACUUGUUGUAUGGAUUCUUAUUAGCAAUAUUUCUUGUGGAGGUGAUAUUUGUGGCACUAGGGUGCUGGUUUGUGUUCAGAAUGGAGGGCAAGCAGUUACCAGGAGUAUGGCCAGCUGAGAUUGGCUAUGAAAUGAUAACCAACCACUUUCGCGGAUACACUUACAAGGAGUUGCAGAAAGCGACUCAAAAUUUUAAGGAUCAAAUUGGGUGUGGGGCAUCUGGUCAUGUAUACAAGGGGGUCUUGAAGGACAAGAGAGUAGUGGCGGUGAAAAGGUUGGCAGAUAUAAACCAAGGCGGGGAAGAAUUCCAACAUGAACUGAGUGUGAUUGGGAAGAUUUACCAUAUGAAUCUAGUGAGGGUAUGGGGGUUUUGUUCUGAUGGCCCACACAGGAUAUUGGUUCUAGAGUACGUUGAGAAUGGUUCAUUGGAUAAAACUUUGUUUAGUAGCACAAGGUUACUUGAAUGGAAGGAAAGGUUUAAUAUUGCUAUAGGGGUGGCAAAAGGAUUGGCAUAUCUUCAUCAUGAAUGCUUGGAAUGGGUUAUCCAUUGUGACCUGAAGCCUGAAAAUAUAUUGUUGGAUGACAACUUGAACCCGAAGAUCAGUGACUUUGGCCUUGCUAAACUUGUGAGUAGAGGUGGAUCCAAUAAAAACGUGUCGAGGAUCCAUGGAACAAGAGGUUACAUAGCUCCUGAGUGGGUCUCUAGCCAACCAAUAACAGCAAAAGUUGAUGUCUACAGCUUCGGAGUGGUUGUCUUGGAACUACUGAAGGGGGCUCGUGUUUCAGACUGGGCAUCAAAUGCUGACGAGGAAGUGGAAACGGUCUUUGCAUGGGUCAUUAGGAUGCUUGCAGAAAAUCUAAUGUUGGAGGGUGGCCAACAGUUAUGGAUCUCCGACUUCAUUGAUUCGAGAUUGAAUGGCCAGUUCAAUGAGUUGCAAGCAAGAACUAUGGUCAAGUUGGCCAUUUCUUGCGUAGAAGAAGAUACCAGAAAAAGGCCCACCAUGGAAAAUGUUGUGCAUAUGUUUCUUUCGGUUGUUGAUGCAUAA
This 2409-nucleotide ribosomal RNA is filed under the name Triticum aestivum (bread wheat). RNAcentral describes it as "partial small subunit ribosomal RNA". The record is from RNAcentral. Lineage: Eukaryota; Viridiplantae; Streptophyta; Magnoliopsida; Poales; Poaceae.